UACAGAGGAGCCAAGCGUUGUCCGGAUUGACUGGGCGUAAAGCGCACGCAGGCGGUUGCGCGCGUGGGGUGUGAAAUCUGGCCGCUUAACGGCCAGGCGCCAUCCCAUACGGCGCGACUCGAGCCCGUGAGAGGUCCACGGAAUUGCCGGUGUAGUGGUGAAAUGCGUAGAGAUCGGCAGGAACACCCAGGGGGAAACCAGUGGACUGGCACGGUGCUGACGCUCAGGUGCGAAAGCGUGGGGAGCGAACCGG
This 253-nucleotide ribosomal RNA is filed under the name uncultured bacterium. RNAcentral describes it as "partial 16S ribosomal RNA". It matches the Rfam family "Bacterial small subunit ribosomal RNA", at positions 524 to 776 of the family's 1533-position model. The record is from RNAcentral.